RNAcentral lists this ribosomal RNA (253 nucleotides) under uncultured bacterium. RNAcentral describes it as "partial 16S ribosomal RNA". It matches the Rfam family "Bacterial small subunit ribosomal RNA", at positions 524 to 776 of the family's 1533-position model. The record is from RNAcentral.
UACGUAGGUGGCAAGCGUUGUCCGGAUUUACUGGGCGUAAAGGGCGCGUAGGCGGCCGCUCAAGUCGGGGGUGAAAGCCUGUGGCUUAACCACAGAAUUGCCUUCGAUACUGUUUGGCUUGAGACCGGAAGAGGUGAGUGGAACUGCGAGUGUAGAGGUGAAAUUCGUAGAUAUUCGCAAGAACACCAGUGGCGAAGGCGGCUCACUGGUCCGGUUCUGACGCUGAGGCGCGAAAGCGUGGGGAGCAAACAGG